Molecule: ribosomal RNA, 507 nt
Filed under: uncultured bacterium
Lineage: Bacteria
Description: partial 16S ribosomal RNA
Rfam family: Bacterial small subunit ribosomal RNA
Source: RNAcentral
GACGAACGCUGGCGGCGUGCCUAAUACAUGCAAGUCGAACGCAUUUUCUUUCACCGUAGCUUGCUACACCGAAAGAAAAUGAGUGGCGAACGGGUGAGUAACACGUUGGUAACCUGCCCAUCAGCGGGGGAUAACACUUGGAAACAGGUGCUAAUACCGCAUAAUUCCAUUUACUGCAUGGUAGAUGGAUGAAAGGCGCUUUUGCGUCACUGAUGGAUGGACCCGCGGUGCAUUAGCUAGUUGGUGGGGUAACGGCCUACCAAGGCUGCGAUGCAUAGCCGACCUGAGAGGGUGAUCGGCCACACUGGGACUGAGACACGGCCCAGACUCCUACGGGAGGCAGCAGUAGGGAAUCUUCGGCAAUGGACGCAAGUCUGACCGAGCAACGCCGCGUGAGUGAAGAAGGUUUUCGGAUCGUAAAACUCUGUUGUUAGAAAAGAACAAGGAUGAGAGUGGAAAGUUCAUCCCUUGACGGUAUCUAAACAGAAAGCCACGGCUAACUACGUG